GACGAACGCUGGCGGCGUGCUUAACACAUGCAAGUCGAACGGAAAGGCCCUGCUUUUGUGGGGUGCUCGAGUGGCGUACGGGUGAGUAACACGUGAGUAACCUGCACUUGACUUUGGGAUAACUUCAGGAAACUGGGGAUAAUACCGGAUAGGAGCUCCUGCUGCAUGGUGGGGGUUGGAAAGUUUCGGCGGUUGGGGAUGGACUAGCGGCUUAUCAGCUUGUUGGUGGGGUAGUGGCUUACCAAGGCUUUGACGGGUAGCCGGCCUGGGAGGGUGACCGGCCACAUGGGGACUGAGAUACGACCCAGACUGCUACGGGAGGCAGCGGUGGGGAAUAUUGCACAAUGGGCGGAAGCCUGAUGCAGCAACGCCGCGUGCGGGAUGACGGCCUUCGGGUUGUAAACCGCUUUCGCCUGUGACGAAGCGUGAGUGACGGUAAUGGGUAAAGAAGCACCGGCUAACUACGUG
Molecule: ribosomal RNA, 468 nt
Filed under: uncultured bacterium
Lineage: Bacteria
Description: partial 16S ribosomal RNA
Rfam family: Bacterial small subunit ribosomal RNA
Source: RNAcentral